AAACCGGCUCUUUCAAGAGCCACCAAAUUCACUAAAAGAAGCGAACG
RNAcentral lists this non-coding RNA (47 nucleotides) under Paramuricea clavata. It matches the Rfam family "Histone 3' UTR stem-loop". Rfam says of the family: The mRNAs of metazoan histone genes lack a poly-A tail. 3' end processing occurs at a site between a highly conserved stem-loop (modelled by this family) and a purine rich region around 20 nts downstream (the histone downstream element, or HDE). Lineage: Eukaryota; Metazoa; Cnidaria; Anthozoa; Malacalcyonacea; Plexauridae. The record is from RNAcentral.